Molecule: ribosomal RNA, 3066 nt
Filed under: Triticum aestivum (bread wheat)
Lineage: Eukaryota; Viridiplantae; Streptophyta; Magnoliopsida; Poales; Poaceae
Description: partial small subunit ribosomal RNA
Source: RNAcentral
AUGGGGGCGGUGGCCGCUUCCGAGCAGAGGGCGAAGAAAACGAUGAAGGAAGCAUUAGAGGAGAUAGAGCCGCUCCCCUGGAGGAUGUCCGAACUGCUGCAGUACCAUAGCGGGCGGCGCCUCAGUGCUGCCGAUGACCGAAUAUUACAGAUUUUCCGGCUCGUUGUGGUCGAGCUGAGAGACAUCGCAGCAUCACUGGACCAGCUUCUGCCACUGCUGGAUCUCAGACCGUACCAUGUCGAGAACUAUGAGCUGUGGCUGCUCAAGUUGAGGAAUCUGGCUCGAUAUAUCGGGAACCACCUCGAUAAGUACGAGCGUUUCAUCACAAGAAAAGAACAGGAAACGUAUGUGCGAACUGCCUGCUUCCGUUGUGAUUCAGAGUUCCGGUUACCGCAUCCGGAUGUAACGCGACUCAUCGAGGAAGAGCUUUCCUGGAUCAACGGACAACCUUACAGGUACGAGCAUCUUAUGUUGGCCGGAGAUGACGAUAGUAUCCCCUUAAGUGGGAUGCCGCAGCUGCAACCCUACGCGACGGAGGCCGGGACCGUUGCACGCGGGGACCUUCUUGUUGGCAUCGAGAGCACCAGAAAGAAGCUGCUCAGGUGGUUCACGCCCGCCCAGGAAGACAACAUGGCUCUCAGUAUCGUGUCCAUGGUUGGACCCGCUGGGGUGGGGAAAACGGCUCUUGCCAAUGAGCUCUACCGACACCUCCAACAAAUCGGAGGUGAUGGACCCUACUUCGAGUGCUACGCUUUGGCCAAUGUGUCCCCGAGGCCUUGCAUCAAGGUGCUUCUGAGACACAUUCUCUGCCAGAUCGACAAACAAGCAGCUAUAGCACCAGCGUCGAUAUCCACGGGGACAUCCGAAAUCACCAUGUCAGAAGACGGCGAGGACCAGGAUGAGCAGGAGCUGGUUCGCAACAUUGAUCAGUACCUUCAAGACCGCAGGUACCUCAUCGUAAUUGACGAUCUUUGGAAAGAAUCCGAUUGGGAUAUCAUCAGCAGUGCUUUGCCACGUAAUAACAGAGGAAGUCGGAUAAUAGUAACUACACGAAUCAGGAGCGUGGCUUGGUACACAUGUUGUUCCAAUGGUCUGAUGCAUGAGGUUAAGCCUCUUAACGAGCUAGAUUCACAAAUGCUUCUGUUGCAAAGUGUUUUCGGCUCCAAGAACUAUUUGUGGCCAGACAAUUUGAAGCAAUCUCGUGAUGAAAUUUUGAGACGCUGUCAAGGUAUACCAUUCUUCAUAUCUGGUAUGGCUGACUGGUUGAGAGAACAAGAGGUCCAGAAAUUCUAUAGCAACGGUAGCCUGGACUGCCUGGUAGAAGAAGUUCCCCAAUUUCCCAGACUGCUCAAGCAAUUCGAACAAACAUUGUAUCCUACUUAUGAUGAUCUUCCAUACUGGUCGAAAGUAUUGCUGCUAUACAUGAGCAUGUUUCCUGAGGGUUAUAUGUUUAACAAGGAUAGUCUCAUUCGGAAAUGGAUCGCCAAAGGGCUGAGUGGUUCGUAUGAAGAAGCAGAGGCGUGUUUCUCCAUGCUUAUCGACAGGAACGUCGUCACGCGAGCAAUAAACAUUUGGGAGCCCACCACUCAAGUGGAGGAAAAUUGCCGUUGGCAAGUAAAUUAUUUCAUGCUGCAGUUCCUGGCUUACAGAUUGGAUGACAAGGGCUUUGCUUGUGCCAGCGGCAUGCGCUGCGCUUCUCCAGAAGCAAUGGGAAACAAGAAACUGCGGUGGUUGUCUGUAAACCAGCCUGACCGGGAGCUCGAAAUGCUUCUGAGUAGAAGAAGCAACCUUUCUCACUUCCACAACGCUCGUUCGUUAUCUAUAUCUGGUGCGGUGGACGACCUACUAUUCCCUCUUGAUAAGUUUAUCUAUCUGGUGGUGUUGGACCUUGAAGGUUGGCAGUGCUUCAAGGACGAAGACAUGUUGUUGAUAUGCAGCAGCAGGAUGCUCCUUCUCCGUUAUCUGAGCGUGAAGAAUACAAGAGUCCGCAAGCUCCCUGCCAAGAUCAAGGAGCUGCGCAGUUUGGAAACGUUGGACAUGAGCCACACAGAGGUCAGUGAGCUCCCAUCAGAAGCGUGCGAGCUGUCACGGUUGGAGAUGCUGGACCUAAGGAGCACGCCAGUCAGGCAGCUGCCGGAACAAAUCCGGAAGAUGCGGUCGAUGAGGCAUCUGCUCAUUGGCGAUUAUGGAGAUGGCCGCAACGGUGGAACGACAAUUCCCGAUGGGAUUGGGUGUCUCUUGGAUCUUCGUACUCUAGCAACCGUUCAUCUAAGCGUAUGCUCCGCAAGACUCGUAGAGGCGCUUGGUGGAAUGGAGAAACUAACAGAGUUGGCCAUAACAUGGUCUUUUCACCAGUGCUCCAACAGAAGAUACCAAGAAGCUCUGCACUGUUCCUUCCAAAAAUGGCGGGGGCUCAAGUCUCUGUCGAUCCAUGGCGGACAAGGUUCUUGCGUUGAGUUCCUAGAUUCUCUGCCUGAUCAAGGUCGGUCCAAUGAUCUUGAGAAAUUCAAGGUGACGGGUGGUGGAAGGUUCGUCAGGCUUCCACAAUGGUUCCAGGGGCUCGAUUGCCUUGCUUUUGUGGAGAUCACGGUUUUGAGGCUAGUGACAGAAGAUCUGAGUAUCCUAACGAACUUGCCGAGCUUGGAGCACCUUUCGCUCGGUCUGGACUUCCUCCCAGAGGAAGCAAUAGUGAUUGGCAGGGCUGGGUUCCGCAAGCUUGAGAGGUUGUGCAUUGGCUGCCGAUUCCCAUGGCUCACUUUCAGCCAAGGUGCCAUGCAGAGGUUAAGAUAUCUCGAGAUGAAGAUUGGCGGACACCCAGUGAGUCGAUCAGGCAGCGUUCUUGCGGGUAUCAACAACCUCUGCUCCGUGUCGGAGGUGUCCAUCCAUUACAACGUACGCUACAGCAACAACCGUGGUGUCAUCUUGACGAUUGAGACGGUGAGGAAGGAAGUAGCUGAGCAUCUGAACCCGAUCAGCGUAUUUGUCAACGGCAUACAAGAUCAAGAUGAGAAUUUUGAGGCAGUUGCAGGGAUCAGUGGCGAUGGGGGUGUUGAAGGGUUGCAUUAG